Molecule: ribosomal RNA, 195 nt
Filed under: Acidovorax sp. 12322-1
Lineage: Bacteria; Pseudomonadati; Pseudomonadota; Betaproteobacteria; Burkholderiales; Comamonadaceae
Description: partial 16S ribosomal RNA
Rfam family: Bacterial small subunit ribosomal RNA
Source: RNAcentral
UCGUGGAUCAGCAUGUCACGGUGAAUACGUUCCCGGGUCUUGUACACACCGCCCGUCACACCAUGGGAGCGGGUCUCGCCAGAAGUAGGUAGCCUAACCGCAAGGAGGGCGCUUACCACGGCGGGGUUCGUGACUGGGGUGAAGUCGUAACAAGGUAGCCGUAUCGGAAGGUGCGGCUGGAUCACCUCCUUUCUG